AUGAAGUGUGACAUGCCCGUUGGGGUCAAUACUCUGAUGAAUUAUUUAUUAUUUAAUUGCUUUGGGUUAAUGGGGUGUUACACCUUA
RNAcentral lists this microRNA precursor (87 nucleotides) under Medicago truncatula (barrel medic). Its description in RNAcentral is "MIR2617 microRNA precursor family". It matches the Rfam family "MIR2617 microRNA precursor family". Lineage: Eukaryota; Viridiplantae; Streptophyta; Magnoliopsida; Fabales; Fabaceae. The record is from Rfam by way of RNAcentral.